AACUUCUGAAUGUUGACCUCGGAUCAGGUAGGAAUACCCGCUGAACUUAAGCAUAUCAAUAAGCGGAGGAAAAGAAACCAACAGGGAUUGCCCUAGUAACGGCGAGUGAAGCGGCAACAGCUCAAAUUUGAAAUCUGGCUCUCGGGCCCGAGUUGUAAUUUGUAGAGGAUACUUUUGAUGCGGUGCCUUCCGAGUUCCCUGGAACGGGACGCCAUAGAGGGUGAGAGCCCCGCCUGGUUGGAUGCCAAAUCUCUGUAAAGUUCCUUCGACGAGUCGAGUAGUUUGGGAAUGCUGCUCUAAAUGGGAGGUAUAUGUCUUCUAAAGCUAAAUACCGGCCAGAGACCGAUAGCGCACAAGUAGAGUGAUCGAAAGAUGAAAAGCACUUUGAAAAGAGAGUUAAAAAGUACGUGAAAUUGUUGAAAGGGAAGCGUUUAUGACCAGACUUGGGCUUGGUUAAUCAUCUGGGGUUCUCCCCAGUGCACUUUUCCAGUCCAGGCCAGCAUCAGUUUUCCCCGGGGGAUAAAGACUUCGGGAAUGUGGCUCUCUUCGGGGAGUGUUAUAGCCCGUUGUGUAAUACCCUGGGGGGGACUGAGGUUCGCGCAUCUGCAAGGAUGCUGGCGUAAUGGUCGUCAACGACCCGUCUUGAAACACGGACCAAGG
This 660-nucleotide ribosomal RNA is filed under the name Fusarium fujikuroi. RNAcentral's name for it is "eukaryotic LSU rRNA". It matches the Rfam family "Eukaryotic large subunit ribosomal RNA", at positions 1 to 671 of the family's 3401-position model. The record is from RNAcentral. Lineage: Eukaryota; Fungi; Ascomycota; Sordariomycetes; Hypocreales; Nectriaceae.